This is a non-coding RNA of Paramuricea clavata, 393 nucleotides long. NCBI's taxonomy places the organism in Eukaryota, Metazoa, Cnidaria, Anthozoa, Malacalcyonacea, Plexauridae. The record is from the annotation of a GenBank genome assembly.
GACCAUUUGAUUUUUGAUGGGGGGUGGGUAGAUUUUCAGUUUGCUCGAUAUUUUUUUUCCGCCUCCUGACACUGUUCGAUUUUUUUUUGUCAGUCAGAGGACUUGCACGAUAUUUUUUUGUAUGCAUGUAUAUACAUAAUUUUUUAGUUUUUUGUUUUUACAUUUUUUGGUAUAUAAUAGGUAAUUGGACAAGUACUGAUGUAAGACAUUGUGUAGCCUAAAUAAUGAGAGGACCAGUAUUCAAAAAAUGGUUGUUCUCCAUUUCUUUACUCCGACUCCUAUGAUGAACAUGUACGUAAAAAAACUAGGGAAACUACGAGGUAAAGUAGGUGAAAUUUUUAUGGGACUCCACAAAAGGUGAGGAUAUAAGAGUGAGAGAUUGAAAUUGAGUAG